CAUGGUUUAUGAAUUUCUUAAAACUUUGGCUCGUGCCAAAAUCAUUUUUAUACCCAGUUAUCAGGGAUGCCUUGAUCGAGGGCUAUCCCAACCGAGUCCGCCAAGGCUAGUAAAAAGUUAUGUACGAAUAAAUCAUGUUUUUAUUUUGAAAACAUAGCCGUUCCUUGGCGUUGGCCGAGUUCCCCUCACAUGGUGGUUUGGCAUGAAGUGAACUCUAAAGUUUGACCUCGGGAGUUACCCUACGCGCCUCUCCAAUCGAGGUACAUAUAUAUGACCAAGUUCCCUGCCCCUCUAAUAGGUUGGUCCAUAGAACCAGCCCACUGCAGCAAUCUAAACCCACCAUACAAUAAAAAUUCAACAGCAUGACAUGGCUAUUUUUAUCAUUAUCCAGCCUAUCAAGGCAAACAACAGUUUAUACAUUUCAACACAUAUACUAAUUCAACCAUUCAUGCCAAUAUUGUCAUAAGCCAUUCAAUUCAAACCGUGAUUUAUAACACACCAAUUAGUCUCCAAUUACUCCAUUUUCAAAAUCAUCUUUCAAUUUCAAGAUAAUUUUAUAAAAUCAUUUCAUUAAAUCACAUUUGGUUUAUAAAAUCAAAAAAUUAAUCAUUUAAUUCAAUUUCCAUAAAAUUCACAAAAUCGAAUAAAACAUAUUUUAGAUGAUUAAGACGAUAGUAAGGUUACUCACUAUAUCGGGAGUCGAAUUUCAAGUACUCAGAUUUUUGAUUCCUCGGGUACUAUCUCUUUACUUUUUCCAGAAUACUCACCACCUAGAUAUAAUGCACAAUAAGCCAUUUACUACAUUGUGCUAACUUGUUAUAAAACCAAUUCAGGCUUUAUACUAAUGUAUGAAAUGGGAUGUGAAAUGCUCGGGUAACUAUCUAAAUACGGUGUUCAAUAUAAAUUCAGUUAUGUACCUAAAUAAAACGGUAUUGGCCUAAUUCGAUCUAUCUCUCGAUUAAUUCGCCAAUAUGUCCAAUUUAACUCCAAAUAAUUCCUUUUUUCUCCCAAUACUCCAAAUCAUCAAACACAAGUCAAAUAGCAUAAAAUCUAGCAAAAUCAUCUUCACAUUUUCUCUUGGAAAAUUCAGCCAUGGUGGGUGCAUCAAUACUAUGAUUUUUCCAACUUGAUUCUCACACCUUAAAUCAUCAUUUCCUAACCAAUUCACUUGAAAUAAAAUCAAAAUCAUCAUCCACACUCUACAUGGAAAAUUCGGCCAAUGAUGGGUGAUGGGAGAAAAUGAAUUUUUCUUGCUUGAUUUUCAUGCUACACAUUACUAACUAACUAAAAACACUAAAAUAUCUUAAAAUCUAACCAAAUCAAUCAUCAAAUCUUCUCUCUCUAAAUUCGGUCAGCCAUGCAUCCUUCAUGAUAUAUUGUGAUACAACCAUGGAAAAUGUAAAAUAAUGCAUGGGAAAUGUCAAACCCGGUACUCUCCUCGAGCCCGUGACAACCGCCGCGAUGUCCCAAUAGACAUUCAUCGCUCGAAAUGCAGAUCGGAACCUCGCAAGGCUUUAAUAUUAGUUUUCUCACCUCCACUGUGAUCAAUAGUUGUAAUAUAACAUGUUUUGAGAGGUUAUAAACUAUUUCCAAAUCAAAACAAUAGAAAAAUAAUUCUUUUGUCUCACAGGGGCAUUUUGGUCAUUUUUCCUCACAAAUCUCGAAACCAGUUAAAAAUGUGGUAUACGAGUGGAAAACACAUAUUUCAUAAUCAAAAAUAAAUUUAGAUGUCUAAAACAUUCAUUUAAAAUGAAACUAUAUCGAUUUGAAUAUAAUAAAAAUAUUCAAUAAAAUAUUCUAUUUUCUUAUAAAACAAUAUUUAUAGAGUUAUCGGUAAAUAAUUUUUGUAGCGUAAAAGCUAAAUAAGUUCAUACAUACUGUAAUACAGAUAACCAAAGUAUAAAAUUUAAUUUACAGUGACACGUGGGCUCACAAAUGACUAAAAGUAUCAAAAGAAAUGAACCUACAGUUUUUGGAUGUGGCAAGUCCAACUGUAGUCCUCAACGAUAUCAGUUAUCUACAAUCUAUUCUGAGCCUGAAAUGGGUGGAAAGGAGGGUGGUGAGAUUAUAUAAUCUUAGUGACUAAACAAAUACCAUCUAAAAUAUCUAAAGCUGAGUAAAUGGAGACAGAUAAAAUAGUUUAACAUACUGUAAUUCAUCACCUUUCAACAAGUUUUAACCAAAUAAAAUCAAUUCAUAUAAAUCGAGUAAUUAACAUGGCUUAUGAAUUUCUUAAAAGAUUUGGCUCGUGCCAAAAUCAUUCUCAUACUCAAUUAUCAGGGAUACCUUGGCCGCGGGCUAUCCCAAACCGAGUCCUCCAAGGCUAUUAAAAAGUUAUGUACUCAUAAAUCAUGUUUUUAUUUUGAAAAUAUAGCCGUUCCUUGGAGUUAGCUGAGUUCGCCCUCACGUGGUGGUUUGGUGUGAAGUGAACUCUAAAAGUUAUACCUCGAGAGUUACCCUACUCGCCUCUCUAACCGAGGUAAAAUAUAUCAGGAUUUCGUGCCCCUCUAAUAGGCUAGUCCACAGAACCCUGCCCAUUGCAGCAAGCUUAACCCACCAUACAAUAAAAUUUGAUAUAGCAUGACAUGGCAAUUAUUUUAUUUUACAGCCUCUCAAGGCAAAUCAACAGUUCAUACAUUUGCAACACAUUUAUCAAGUCAACCAUUCAUGCCAAUAUUGCCAUAAGCCAAUCAAUUAGAACCAUAAAUUUACAACACAUCAAGUGGUCUCCAAUUACUCUAUUUUCAAAGCCAUCAUUUAAUUUCAAGACAAUUUAUAAAAUCAUUUCAUUUAAACACAUUUUAUUUAUAAAACAUAAAGAUUUACUAUUUAAACUCAUUUUCUAAAAAUCACAAAAUCAGAUAAAAAUCACUCUAGAUAAUUAAGACGAUAGUAAGGUUACUCACUGUUUUGGGAGUCGAAUUUCGAGUUCUUCGAUUCUCGAUCCUCGAGUACUAUCUCUUUACUUUUGCUAGAAUGCUCACCACCUAGACGUAAUGCACAAUAAGCCAUUUACUACAUUUGUGCUAAAUUGUUAUAAAACCAAUUCAGGCUCUAUACUAAUGCAUGAAAUGGGAUGUGAAAUACUCGGGUAACUAUCUAAAUACGGUGUUCAAUAUAAAUUCACUUGUGUACCUAAAUAAAUCGGUAUUGGCCUAAUUCGAUCUAUCACCCGAUUAAUUGGCCAAUACGUCCAAUUUAACUCUAAUUAACUCCAUUUUUCUUCCAAUUCUUAAUUCACCAAACACAAGUCAAAUAGCCUAAAAUUUGGCAAAUCCAUCUUCACGUUUCUUCAUAGAAUUUUCGGUCAAUAAUGGUGCAUCAACACCGUGAUUUUUCCUACUACUUUUCCACACCAUAAUUCAUCAUUUUCUAACCAAUUCUCUUAAAAUAAAAAUCAAAUUCAUCCUCACUCAAUACAAGGUAGGUUCAGCCAUUGAUGGGUGAUGGGGAAAAUGAAUUCUUUUCUUGUUGUUUUGCUUCUAGACAUGGUAAACUAACUAAAAACACUAACAUAACUUGAAAUCAAAUCAAUCCAACAUUAUUCUCUCUCCAUAUCCAUUUGGCUAGCCAUGAAUUCACCAUGAAAACAUGUAAUUUAACCAUGGAAAAUAAGGAGAAAUGAUUAAGGAAAAUAGAUUUCAAGUUUAAAUUGAGAAAUCCUACCUUUUUCACUUGUUUUCCUUGAUUUUCCACACUUUUUCUCUUGAAAUUCUCCACCUAAGGUUUGUUCUUUCUUUUCAUUCCUUUGUUCUUCCUUUGGCCGGCCAUAUGAAUGAGAAAUGGGCUGAUUUUGUACUAAUUUAUAAGGAAAAUAAUGAAUGGAUGAGAUUUUGACACAUAUCACCAUUCCACUAGUCCAUGUGUCAUACUUAGCCAUUAAGCAAUCUCUCUCCACCACUUAAAUUUUUUCAAUUAUCCAUGAUAAUAUUGGGUAAAAUCCAUGUGCUGGACAAGUGUUGGGUGGUGUAAAAUUACGAUUUUACCCUUGGGCUGCAAAAUGACUAUUUUGCCCCUAUGCUAGGAAAAAUGCCGGCAUUAAAAUUUUUUACUUCUCAAACUCAAAUUAUGUCUAAAUAGUCAAUCUUAGUCAAAAAAUUUCAUCCAACACUCACAUCUUAAUCUCGGGUGGCAAAAUGACCAUUUCGCCCCUAGGUCAUGAAAAUUCUAAUUUGACUCCAAAUCUGUCCUCGAACUCCGAAUCACCAUUUUAAGUCAUUCUGGGGUUUUAAAAUUCUCAAUUUCAUCUUAAAAUCUCUAUUUGGACUAGUUCGAGGCUUAAUUCAACUUAAUUGUACCAUUUGGUACAUUACCGUCCUUUAUCGAUUUUCAAGGUACCCAAGUAAGCAAACAUGCAUUCUUCUGUAUGAAGGGCAUAAUAAACAUAUUGUAGAGCUGGGCUUGACAGGAAAGGUAGAUCACAAGUCAAAAUCAAGAAAUUUUACCUUUGAUUGCUUAAUUACUUGAAUUUUCACAUUUUUCCCUUGAAUUUUUCCACCUAGGGUUUGUGUUCUUCUUUUCUUCCUUUGUUCUUGCUAUGGCCAGUCAUAAUGAAGAGAAAUGGGCUGAUUUUGUACUAAUUUAUAAGGAAAAUAAUGAAUGGAUGAGAUUUUGACACAUGUCACCAUUCCAUUGGUCCAUGUGUCAUACUUAGCCAUUAAGCAAUCUCUCUCCACCACUUAAAUUUCCUCAAUUAUCCAUGAUAAUAUUGGGUAAAAUUCAUGUGCUGGACGAGUGUUGGGUGGUGUAAAAUUAUAAUUUUACCCCUAGGGUGGCAAAAUGACUAUUUUACCCCUAUGCUUGAAAAACACCAAAAUUAAAAUUCUUCACUUCUCAAACUCAAAUUAUACUCCAAUAAGUCAAAUGUGAUCAAAAUCUUUCAAAAAAAUUCUAAUUUCUCCUCGAGUGGCAAAAUUACCAUUUUACCCCUAGAUAGUGAAAUUUUUGAUUUGACUCCAAAUCGGUCUUUGAACUCCGAAACACCAUUUUAAGUCAUUCUAAAGUUUUAAAAUUCUCAAUUUAAUUUUAAAAUCUCUAUUCAGACUAGUUCGAGGCUUAAUUCAACUUAAUUGUACCAGUUGGUACAAUACCGUCCUUUAACGAUUUUCAAGGUACCCAAGUAAGCAAAUAUGCAUUCUUAUGUAAGAAUGACAUAAUAAACAUAUUGUAGAGUCGGGCUUGACAGGAGUACUCAGAAUUUGACUCCCAAAAUAGUGAGUAACCUUAUCAUCAUCUUGAUUAUCUAAAGUGAAUUUUAAUUCGUUUUUGUGAUUUUAUGGAAAAUGUGAUUAAAUGAAAUGAUUUUAUAAAAUUGUCUUGAAAUUGAAUGAUGAUUUUGAAAAUAGAGUAAUUGGAGACUACUUGCUGUAUUGUAAAUUAUGUUUUGAAUUGAAUGGCUUAUGAUAAUGUGGGCAUGAAUGGCUGGAUGAGUAUUUGUGUUGAAAAUGUAUAAACUAUUGUUUGCCUUGAUAGGCUAUAUAAUGAUAAAAUUACCAUGUCAUGCUGUUGAAUUUUUAUUGUAUGGUUGGUUUAGCUUGCUACAGUGGACAGGUUUUGUGGACCAGCCUUUUUGAGGGGCAUAGAAUCUCGUUAUAUUCUUAACUCGAUUGGAGAGGCAUGUAGGGUAACUCCCGAGGUACAACUUUAGAGUUCACUUCACGUCAAACCACCACGUGAGGGUGAACUCAGCAAAUGGCAAGGAACGACUAUGUUUUCAAAAUCAAAAACAUGAUUUAUGCAUACAUGACUUUUUAACAACCUUGGCGAACUCGAUUGGGAUAGCCCUAGGCCAAGGUAUCCUUGAUAAUUGAGUAUGAGAAUGAUUUUGUCACGAGCCAAGCUUUUCAGGAAAUCAUAAGCCUUGUUGUUUAUUUUGGGUGAAAUGAAUCUAUUUUAUCUUAUUAAAAUGAGUUCGAAAUGCUGUGAAUCAUUUUUAUGCUAAUCUAUUUUAUCUGUCUCCAUUUACUCAGCUUUAGAUAUUUUAGAUGGUAUCUGUUUACUCACUGGGAUUAUAUAAUCUCACCACCCUCAUUUUCACCCAUUUCAGGCUCAGGAUAGUUUGUAGAUAGCUGAUAUAGUCGAAGGCUACAGUUGGCUUUACUUCCUCAAAAACUGUAGGUUCAAAACCUUCAUCACUUUUAGUCGUUUGGGGGCUCAUGUGUCAUUGUAAAUUUAAUUACAUACCUUGACUAUCUGUGUUACUGUAUGUAUGAAUUUAUUUUGCUUUUACGCUACAAAAAUUAUUUACGGAUAUCUCUAUAAAAAUUGUUUUAUAAGAAAAUGGAAUAUUUUACUCAAUAUUUUUAUUUUAUUCUAAUUGCUAUCAUUUCACUUUUAAUGAAUGUUUUAGACAUCUAAACUUAUUUUUGAUUAUGAAAUAUGUGUUUUGCACUCGCAUACUACAUUAUUAGCUAGUUUUGAAAUUUUCAAGAAAAAAUGACCAAAAUACCCCCGAGAGACGAAAAUUAUUUUUUUAUUGUUUUGGUUUGGAAAUAGCUUAUAAUCUUUUAAAAUAUGAUAUUAGCAACUGUUGCUCUCAAGGGAGGUGAGAAAACUGAUAUUAAAGCCUUACAAGGUUUCGGUUGGCAUUCAGGGUAAUGAAUGUCUAUUGGGACAUCACGGCGGUUGUCACGGGAUCGAGGAGAGUAUCAGGUUGUGACAAUUAAAUCCCUUAAAGUGAAGGAUUUAUAAUCCACAAUGGAGUUGAAAAGAGUGAAAACUACAGCAAAUGUCCAAGCAAAACAGAGGGUAUCUCGCUGCAGUGGAAAGGGAUUCUAUAGCAUAUAGUACAAUCACAUUUUUAUUUUCAUAACCUGUCUAUAGCAUAUAUAUAUAUAUACAUGUACACCACCGCCGCCUUACUCAGCUUAUGUGCACUCCCUACACACACAAGGCAAUAUCAUUAUGUUCACUCCCUACACGCACAUUUCAAUAUCAUCAUGUGCACUCCCUACACGCACAUUUCAAUAUCUUCACGCGCACUCUAGCCCACAUCAUUACCGGCAUGUGCACUCCCACAUCGCACACCACCGGCACCGUCAUGUGCACUCCCACACCGCAUGUAAUACCCUGCAUCCUCGUUGGACACAAAUAAGACCUUAUUAAUCAAACGAAUGAUCGUUUGAUGCGAAUUGGCGUGCUAAAGAGCGAUAAAGGAUGAAAGGAACGUUCAAGAAUAAAAUGCUUCGCGCGUGCAAAAUUAACAAUUAAAUAAUAAUAUUUUCGUUGGGGAAGAAUUAGUAAGCUAAAGGAUGAUUUGGAAGUAAACCGAGAUGUAAUGAUGCGUUUCGAGACCAAAGAAGGCAAGUGAAAAAUUUUGAAAUAAAAUAAUAUUAAAAUAUUAAUAUUUAUAUGUUGCCGAAAUUAGUCAUGAAAAAUGAAAUAUGACUAAUUCAAGUGGGGGAGAAGAAGUAAAGAAGAAUUUUGAAGGAAAACGACGAUAAUUGUGACAACAUGAUUUUAUUCAAUCGAGCUAACGCGGGUAAGUAAAUAUUUAAAUAUUAUGGUGACACCGCGUUGAAAUGCGAUCUCGAUAUUUUGAUUAUACACAUGUAAGAAAAGGAAGAUAGAAGGAAAUUAGAAUUUUUAAACGUAGCGGCAUGAUCAAAUUUUAAGAUACGAAAAUUGAAAGAUUGAGUACCAAAUAAAAUGAAGUUAAGGCAUAAUAUGUAAAUUUUAUUGUUUUGAAGAAAUAAAAAUACAAUGAAAAUAAAAUGGAUGAUAAAAUAAUGAAGAAAAGAUGUUGAAAAGUCAGACAAUAUUUUUAUAUGUACAUGAGUGACCACAUGAGUCAAGAAUGGAAAUGAUGUGGUUUGGAUGGGAAUGAAGAAAAGUCAAAGUUAUUUGGAAUAAUAUUAAAUUGGAACCAAGUGAGGUGAAUGGCCGGCCAUACAAAAGAAAAGAAGAAAGACAAAAAAGUAAAGAAAACAAAAGAGAAGAGUGUAGAAAGGAAGGUGGGGGCCAGCCAUGUGAGGAAAGAAAAAGGAAGAGAGAAAAGUUAAGUCGAUUAGUGAAGAAGAAAAAGAGAAGAAAAAUAAAGGAAGAAAAAAAUGAAGAGAAAAAGGGAGAGAAAGAACCGUGAGAGAGGAAGAGCAAAGAGAAUGGUUUUGCUGCACUUUGAGGAAGGAAAAAGAGAGUUUUUGCUGCAAUUUUGGAGGAAGAAGAAAUCUGAAAAUUUUGAGGUAAGAAAGUUGAUUGUUUUGAGGUUAAUUGCUAGAAUUUUUAAGGUUUUUAUGGCUGAUUUUGGAUGUAGAAAAUUGGAGCUGUUUGUUGCCAAUGUGUGCAAAAAAAUUGUGCAGAAAAAUUGGAGCUGGUUGUUGCCAAUUUGUGCAAAAAAAUUGUGCAGAAAAAUUGGAGCUGGUUGUUGCCAAUUUGUGUAGAAAAAUUAUGCAGAAAAAUUGGAGCUGUUUGCUGCCAAUUUGUGCAGAAAAUUGGACAGCUUGUGCUGCCAAAAUUGAGGAGUUUUGUUGCUGGAAAUUGAGCUGGAAAUCUGUCGAUUUUAGAGCAGAAAAUGGUAGCAAAAAGGGUGAGAAAAUGAGGUUUUUGGUGACCGAUUUUGAGAGGAAAGGAAGAGAGGAAGCCACGGUGAUGAAGAGAUGAAGCCAUGGUGGUGAAGAGAGGAAGCCACCGUGGUGAAGGGAAGCCACAGGCUGGAAAGAAAAAAGAAGAAGAAACAUGGAAGAGGAAAAAAGAAAGAAAAAGAAAAAAGAAAAGAAAAGAAAUAGAAAAUAAAUGGGCAUGACCUAAUGGAAAAUAAGUGGGCAUGACCGAAUAGAAAAUAAGUGGGCAUGGCCCAAUAAGAAAUAAAAAUAAAUGGGCUUAGCCCAAAUAGGAAAAAUAGAGAAGCCCAUGGAGAGGGCCCAAAGGUCAUAAAGAAAUGAAAAAGGCCCAAUGGUAAGUUAAUUUUAUAUUUUAAGAUUUAUGGGUAGUUUAAUAUUGUGCAUAUUUUGGAUGAAAAAUAUGCAAGUUGCUUAAGGAAUUUUUAAUUAAGUUGCUACCCAUACAAAUGUGUAAUUAAGUAUACUGAGUUUAAAUUGUUGCUAGGAAAGUUUAUUGUGGAGGCGUGCCGAACGAAGUAUGUGACCGACAAAUAGGAAUAAUUAUAUACGCGUACAAAUCAAUAGUGAAGUAAUAUCCCACUAUUAUGAGGUGAGUAGGGGGUGUCAAUUUUAAAAAUUCCUUAUAUAUAUACAUGUAUGUACAUUUUACAUGAAGUGCAAAAUUUAUGGAAAGCAUGCGUUGAUAGAAUUUUAAGGAAUUGUGAGUGUAAGUUAUUUUUAGAAAUAAUUUGGAAUAUAAACAAGCUUUUCGAAAAGAUUUAUAUCAAAGGAAAUUGUGCCUUAUUGUUUGUGUGGUGUGCAUUCAUGAAAUUUAUUACAUAUUCACCAUGCUAUUUUGAUACAAAAUAUCAUGCAAAUGUUUACAAUGAACAUUUUAUGAAAAGAGAGUUUUAACGUGAUGUGGGGAUCGAUAUUUUGAGAAAGAUUUAAAAUAUCCCCUUGAAGAUCAAAUUUGAAUUCUUUUAAAAGGUGAUUUCAUUUUUAACCAAGAAUUCAAGAGUAAUUGGAGAUUACUACUUGUUGUGUUAUAAAGUGUAUCUCGAUUCGAAUGGCUUAUGAUAAUGUGGGCAUGAAUGGCUGGAUUGGUAUUUGUAUUGAAAGUGUAUAAACUGUUAUUUGCCUUGAUAGGCUGGAUUGUGAUAUAAUUGCCAUGUCAUGCGGUUGAGAUUUUAUUGUAUGGUGGGUUAGCUUGCUGUAGUGGGCGAGUUCUGUGGACCAGCCUAUUAGAGGGGCACGAAAUCCGGAUAUAUAUAUGUACCUCGAUCAGAGAGGCACGUAGGGUAUCUCCUGAGGUAUGGAUAGAGUUCAUGUCACGCAGAACCACCUCGUGAUGAUGAACUCCGCUAACGCCAAGGAACGGCUGUGUUUUCAAAAUAAAAAUAUGAUUUAUGCGUACAUUACUUUUUAAUAGCCUUGGCGGAUUCGGUUGGGAUAGCCCCAGGACAAGGUAUCCUUGAUAACCGAGUAUGAGAAUGAUUUUGGCACAAGCCAAGUUUUUAAGAAAGUCAUAAGCCAUGUUGUUUAUUUUUGACAAAAAUGUAAUGGUUUUAUAUGAGUUGAAAUAAGUUUUAAUAUUAUGAAUUAUAUUUCUCUGCAUGGUGAAAAAAAAAAAGAAUUAAACGGUUUUUCACAACUCCCCUAUUUGUUUAUUCGUGAAAUGAAUAUGUAAUUCCUCCCAUAUAGGGUGAGUUAUGAUUUGUGCAUGAUUUUAAAUAUUGUAUGGUUUCGCGGGAGCUUGCUAAAUUUUAUUGAUUUGAUUCGAAAAUGAUUAUUAAUAUAUUUUGAUGCAAAAAAUUUUAUUAUCUCGAUUAUUUAUACUUUAUAAGAAAUUCUUGAUUUUUAUAUAAGGCACAAAUCCCCAUUUGAAACGAAUUGCUUUUAUAAUCCUGCAUUUUUAUAUUCAACUUAUAUGCCGUUUACUUGUUUCCCAUCUACGCCUUACUCGCUAAGUCGAUGAUUAUCAUUGAGUCUAUGAGACUCACACCCCUUUAUUUCCCUUUUUGCAGAUAGGAAUCAGCCUAGCGUGUAGUCAGUGAUGCGUUUGGUCCACCGUGAAUAGGUAAAGGCAUCUCCUAGCAUUUUAUUCUGAGUCACUCUGCUGUUAGGGGUCAAGUCGUAGCAUUUCAUUUCUUAAGUUGUAAAUGAAUUCUAAAUUUUUAUAUAAGCAUUAAUUUGGAGAUUAUAGAUUUAAUGCAUAUACUUACGAAUAAAAGGAAAAAGUUUGUAUUGAUUUUUAUAUUUAUGGUUCAAUUUAGUAUAUGAAAGUAUCAAUAUUAUAUGGUGAUUGAAUGUAGUGGAUUAACGAGCAAAUUCUAGAUAGGCUUGUUCGAGACUUGGCGGGUCUUUUUCGAAAGUCUUGGACCCCGACAGCGACCGGGGAGAGGUUGUUGCACCGCAUGUGCACAAAUAUAGCUAUUAUACAACAUUAUCACUCAAAGCAUAACAUACUUAUCUACAUAAUAUAGGAACACAUGAUUUCAUUAUAUCACAUAUUUUACCACAUAAAAACAUUUCAUCAAGGGCUUGUUCCCAUGAACAUUUUAAAGAAAAGUCUGAUAAAACAUUUCAGGUGAUUUAAUUAAACACAUAUGCAUUUAUUCCAAAAUAUUUUAAUGCAAGUUCACUCACAGUGUCUUUGUUGAUGCUUUGAUCGACUCUAACUGCGUCUAAUUCUCCGAAUGGAGAUGUGGAGUCUCGUUGGAACCUAUCACACACAAUAGUAUCACACCAACUCAAUUUACAUAGAUACUAUUCCAAAAGUUAUUUCCUAAAUCAAGUUUUACUAGUUAUUCCUAACUAGCUUCCAAUUACCAUUUAACUAGUCAUUGUUCACACUAGACAUGAUUAAAUAACCUUCAACAAUAAAUUAGCCCACAAACCUAAUUAUUGGCCAUCAUUAACAACUCAAAAAUCAAAUCUAACUCAUUACUCACCUUAGUGGUUUUAUAGUGGAGUUCUUUUCAAGAGUUCUUCAAGCUAUCAAGGAAAGUCUAUCUCUCUCUCUCUCAAAAUGUUCAACUAGUGAGAGAAAGUGCAAAGGAAAAGCGUUUGAGGGUUCUUGAGGUGUAAAAGUGAAAGAGUAUGAAAAAGUGUACAAAAGCAUGAAAAUCAGAGUUAAUUCGAGAAAGUUAUAGAGGCUUUAAGGUUUCUUUUCCAUGGAAGGGGGAAAACGUUUAGUGAGGGGAAAGGAUGGGAAGAAGAAGAAGCUGCUGGAAGUGAGGAGAAGUUGCUGGAAGAAAUGAGAUAUUUAUCCUAAAGUCAAUCAAAGUUUCACGAAAUUUACAAAAAUGCCCUUUUUUUGUUCUUCUGGUGCAGUGCCUUCACUUUGACAAAGCUUUUGACCACUUUCCGAUCAGAAAUGGGAAAAGUGGUAAACAUCAAAGUUGUAGCUAUCCCUCUUAGAUUUCUAAUGGUUUAAAAAUCAUGUCAUUUUAACUUCUGUAGUAUGAGAUAUGCCUGAAAAAUCGAAACAUAUGCAAAUAGAGCAACAGUUAAUUAUGCACCUUUCUUCACCAAUUGAAAUUAUUUUUGAUCCUACUCCUAUAAAAACAUAAAAUAAUUAUAAAUAACAUAAAACUAGCAUCAUUAACUCAAAAUAAACACUUAAACAUAAAUUAAACUAAACUAAUAAAAUAAAUAAAAAUACUUAAAUUCAAUCCUAAAUUUAGUCCAACUUAGGCUAAUUAGGUAUUUAAUCUCCCAUUAAAUUUGAGAAUUUGAUGCACUCAACAAUCUACCUCUAGUCACGCAUCUAUGGAGGUUGGGGUUUCAUAAUUAGGCACCAUAUUAAAGUACGAGGUAUUAUACAUAAUUCUUUAUAUAGCUGAUGAUCAAACUUUAAGAAUGAAUAUGGAGAUCAAUAAUAGUAGACAUUGCACCAUGCUUUUAUCAUCUUCAGGAUAUAUGAUAAGGGAAUGAAUUACACUGAAAGAUUGAUCAUUAAAAGGUUAAGUCAAACCAUCUUGACUCUUCUAACAUUUAGGUGGCCAUGAUGGAUUGCUAGAUCCCAAUCUUGGUCUAUGAACUCUAGGUAGUUGACUUGAUUAAUGAUAAAUUUAAAGUAGUUUAAAUUUAUCUAAUUCUAAGUUUAACUUAAAAAUUAUAUGUUGAGUUCAUUGCCAACAUGUUAGAAGCCUAAUGGGUCACACACCUAAAAUGAAUGUUGAAAAUAAAAUGGGAGAGGUGAUUAAGGUGGACUUAAUCAAAUUAUAAGUUAUGAGCUUCUCAAGCACUUGAUUAAAAUUAUUUAAUUAAGUUGUGCCUAAUUAAUUAAAUUGUUUAAUUAAGUCAUUGGGCCUAAUUAAUUAAAUUGUUUAAUUAAGUCAUUGGGCCUAGUUGAUUAAAAUUUUUUAAUUAAGUCAUUGGGCCUAGUUGAUUAAAAUUGUUUAAUUAAAUUGUUGGGCUUAAUUAAUUAUAUUGUGUAAUUAAGUUAUUGGGCCUAAUUGAUUAAAUUAAACAAUUAAGUUAACUGGGCUUUUUAAGGACUUAAUUAAAUUGUUUAAUCAAAUUAUUGGAUUAAUUGGCAAUUGCAAGAUAGUUUUGUAAUUAGGGUUUAAAAUUAUCCAAGGUAUAAAUACCUUGCUAAAGCCACCAAACAAAUUGAGAGAGAAUGGCUGAAAAAUUAAGAGAACGGCAAAUUAGAAAUUACUUUUGCCUUGCCACUCCUUGUGUGAAGAAAAAAUAGUUUUUCAUUCACUUGAUUUCUUUUGUGUGUUCAGCCCUGAAAUUUUGUGUAGAUUAUGAGUUUAUGAAACUCAUCUAUGCUAGCACAUUGUUAAGGCAUAGCACUCCCAAUCCUUAAAGAAGGAUUUUCUAAUUCAUUAAUGUGGAUCACCAUUAGAGGCUACAAAAUGAUUCCUUAGAUAGCUUUGGUUUGCAAUAACCAGGCUGAGGUGGUUGAGGUUUUUGAAGGCUGAUUUGGUGGUUUAACAAAGGAUUCAUCAACCUUUGUUAUUUAGGUAAGCUUGAUAUGAUCUUAUAUAUAUAUAUAUUUAUAUAUAUAUAUAUUAUUUUUAAUUUAAUUCUGUACUCAAUGUGGCAUGAAAGAGAUCCUAGGAGGGUGAGGCAUAAUUUAAUUUUUAAAAUUUUUUUUCGUUGCAUUUUAUUUGUAUUAGAUGCAUUAUCAACCCUCACCAAACAACCACUCUUACGCGCCGGCCACCAAGGAAUGGUGAUUCAUUUAGCCCAUUAUUUAGGGGAGAACAGUCUAGUGGAGCAUCUAAUCUGGGCCCCAUGCAAAGGGGUGUUUUGUGUAAUUAUUGUGGCAAGGCACAUGGUGGACCAUGCCAUAAGGUAACUGGUUUGUGUUUUGGAUGUGUUCAAUUUGGAUGAGAGAUUGUCUGAUGUAGAGGUAGUUGGCUGAGGGUGAUCAUGGAUAUGGAUGGCAAGUGUCCAAUAUGUUAGGAAUUUUUGAGAAUAUGGUGCCCUAGAAAGCAAGUAUAUUCUCAUGCUUAAAUUCAUUAAAUUUAUUUGUUAUGAAAGUACAUUUUGAUAAUAAGACAAAGAGUUUGGUUUAGUAAGCAUUCAUUAUCUAGUUAUUAAGAUACCAAGAUUUUAUUGAGAUAUUAAAAUACAUUUGUAUGAAGAGUCAUACAUAGGAGACGUGUAUUUUAAUUGAAUUUAAAAAUUGUUCAUGCUAUAUAAUAAAGCUGGUUACUUUAUUAUGUUAAGGCUGUAGUGUCUAGAUUACUUCUAACGAAAUGAAUGUGAUUCAUUUCAAGGGAAUGAUGAGUCUCAAAUCAUCAAAAUGGUUGGCUUCGAGUAAUGACACUAUAACAUGAACUAGAAUCAUGCGAGAAUCAAAUUUAAGUUUUACUGUUACCUAAAUCUUGAUCUCACACUUAUGCAUUUGCUUAUAGUAGAACCGAAAUCUUGAUGGAAGGUGGACUCGUGUGUAAUCUCCUUAUAAUCUUUGAUUUACCAUGAGCAUGAUCAUCAUAAAGGGUUGAUCUAGACUCUGUAUUUUGGUAUUAUAAUCGAGAUGAACAUUUGGGAACAUAUAUCCAAAUAUUGGAGUUCAUAGCAUUAACAUCACUUCUAGUGAUUUCAAGAAGAUUGGUGAUUAAUCUGAGCCUAGUUGAUUAAUGAAUUAGCUACUCAUCACAUUUGGAUACUCAAAAGAUUAGAUCUAUAGUAUUAAAUCAUUGAUUGGAUGAAAUUUGAGACUAGGGGACAAAAUUGACAUAAAGGGUAAAAUGGUAAUUUCACCUUUUGUUAUUGGAUGGCUAUAAUGGUUCACAAUAUAAGGUUUGCAAUUGGACAACUAAUAAUUAAUAUCAUGUAUUGAAUUGUUUCUUGUAAUUAUAGUUAAUCCAAGAGUGCAAUCAUGAAUCUAUGGUGGAGUGAUUUCAUGGUUUUUUUUUUUCUAUGGUGGAGUGAUUUCAUGGUUAAUAAGCUUGAAUUUUUUUUAAUGAGAUUAAGAAUAAUUCUAAGUUUAUUGGAGCUUGGAAUAUCUAUGUCCAAAUAGAUUCCCCACUUAGCUUCGUAGAAUUCAACUUGUUUAAGUUGGAAUGCAUGUUUUAAUUUGUUUAAUUAAAUUGUGUACAAAAAUGACCUUAAACAUGUUUGGUCUUAAUUUAGACAAGAGUUAUCUUAAAUUAAGAUAAUUUUAAGAGGAUUCUUGCAAAAUGAAUCUAGACAUCCAUGUUGAUAAAAGAAGAUUCCAUGUUUGUCUAUUACUCUUUUAUUUAUUAUUAAUUCUUUUUAAAUAAAGAUGGAUAAUAAUAAAAUAAGAGUUAUUUGAAUAAGGAGUUUUAUUUUAUCAAGAACUCUAAAUGAUAAUUAAGAAUUAAAUUAUUUAUUCUUUAAUUUUUAUUUUGAUAAUUUUGGAGUAUGUUUGAUGCUUCCAUAACUCUAAAUGGAUGGUCAAAAUUGAUUCAAAGGUGUUUCAUUUUGAUUAAACCUUUGAAGCAAGAGUUUUAAUAAAAAGUGAAGAGAUUGGAAGAAAAAUUGAGAACGUACUUUUUCUUGAAAAAAGUUUCAGCCGUCACUUCUCUUCUCUUCUCCUCCUCCAAGCUUUUCCAAAGAAAAGAGAACAAAAUCGGUUGCCAUCUUGUAGUCUUGCAUUCCACACCUUGUCCACUCAAGGUUCAAGUUGAAACUAUUCUUGAAGAAUAAGUGGUAAACUUGUUUGGUCGAGAAAUCAUUCAUUGGUGUGGUGGUGUUCAAAAAUAAGAAUCUCAAAAUAAAGGUAUGGUUUUUCUUACUUAAUAGAUUCUUAUUUUAUUUCUUUGGAUGUGAUUAUGCUACUUGCAAUAAUAAUAAUAAUGUGUGUUUCCGCUUGUGUAAUUGAAUUUCUUGCUUCCUUUAUAAAAUAAAAUUUUGAAAUCCAUGCUUUAAACAAUCACAUUAAUUCACAAAGAUCCGACUCCAACACAAUACUCUUCCUAGAAUUGCACCAACUAGGAGAAAUGUUAGAGGUGAAAAAUGCAAAAGGGUAGCCUCAUCGUCUCGAGGUAGAUUGUUGUUGAUUUUUUACUCAUGCAAGUGCACGUAUCGCAAAGAUAAUAUAGAGAUGAAUAGAAUGUCGAUCCCACAGAGAAUUGAAUUAAUACUUAUUGUUAAUUACUAAAAUUAACACACCUUAAUUUUAUCUAAAAAAUUAAAUUUAAAAAAGAAAAAUUUAAAUUAAUAAACUAAAAACUAAAACUAAUAUAUUAGCAAAUUUUACUUCUAGUGAUUAACAGACCUAAGAUUAUGAUAUCCCUCAAUAUUUCAUCUGAAUAUUGUCUCUCUCUCUCUUAACUCAAUUUAAUGGAUUAAGUUGCUAACCUAGAGUCCUAAAUUAUUUACAAGUCUCUGUCAAGUUUCUCAUAAAAAUACCUCUCCUAAUUAAUUUACUAUAUGUCUAUGCAAAUUAUAUUGAAGAAGGAUUCAUUAAGUUUGUGCUUUAAUUUUGGCUACGUAUGGCUUUUAGGUGUAUGUCUACCCUAUAUGCAAAUCAAACCACCAUAUCAACUAAGUGUAUUCGAUCAUACGCUACUCUAUUCAAGGUCUACCUAAUUCUCCUUCGUCAAGGUUUAACUUAGGUUUCCAAUUCAAUCUAAUUGGUGGCCAGUAAACUAAAAGCAUUAAGAACAGAAUAAAAUAAACAACUUAAAUCUAUCAAACAUAAAUAAAAAAGAGAUAAAUAAUUCAUAGUACGUGUCGAGUUCAAUCAUAAUCUUAGAUUAACAAUUUAGUUCCCCAUCAAGUCACACAUCAUCAUUGAAUAAAGUUUAAACAUUAAGAACAAAACUAAGAAACAUAAGAAAAUAUCAAAAGGAAAAAACCAAGGAUUGUAUUCUUGAUUCCAAAUCUUCUUGAAGCCUUCAAAUUCUUCUUUGCUUCAAUGACUUUGUGGCUUGACUCUUAGCUGUCAAUCUGGUGUUUUGUUCUCCUUUGAAAGGUUAUUUUUAUAGGUUUUGAAGUUAGGCCAAGUUAAGUGAAGAAAGAAGUCAAUUUCAGCUAGAAUUUCCUCACCAAACAAUGUGAGUCGCAGCCUGGCCCAAUUAAUUAAUAGAAAUCGUAAUUGCUCUAAGAAUGCUACAGUGUGUCAACUUCGACAAGAUUUUUGACUAUUUUCAGGCUGAACUGGGUAAAAUCGUAAGCAUGAAAGUUAUAUAUUUUUUUCUUAUCUUUCCAAUGUUUCAAGAAUCGCUUUAUUUGGAGCUUUGUAGAGAGAGUUAUGGUCGAAAUACCAAAACAUAUACAGUGGAAGUCUGCACCUUGAAAUUGCUCUAUUUCUUCGAUUAAAAUUCUUCUUUCAUGAAACACUUACAAAAGCACAAAUAAAUCAAUAACAACUUCUCAUAACCACAUUAACACCAAAUUAAGUAUAAAAUUAACUAAGAUUAGUUUGACUCACCUAAAAUAACUAAUUUAAAAUAAUUAAAUAAAAUCUACUUAUUUUUAUGCAUUACUACAAGAACUAAGCUCAAUUACUAUCAAAAUUAAGCUCAAAUAACUUUAUAUCAUAGAGUUAGUAUAGAUCGACACAAUUGGGUAAUGAUGGAGGAGGCCAAGUGAAGGUGUUUGCUUUGAUACCGCAAGAUGCUUAGACUUCUAAUGUAGUGGUCAUAGGUACACUUUCUAUUUGUGGUACCAAAGCUUUAGUUUUGUUUGAUCCCGGAUCAAUACAUUCCUUUGUGUCCCCACAUUUUGUGCCAAAAUUAGAUCAAUUUUGUAGCAAUAUGGAGGAACCCUUAAUUGUAACUAUUCCUUUAGAGGAGACAUUUGCGGCAAAAUAUGUAUAUAAAUCUUUUGUGGUUCGUAUAAAGGACAAGGAUAUGUUAGCAGACUAAGUGCUGUUACUAACUUUGGAUUUUGAUGUGAUUUUGGGAAUGGAUUGGUUCGCAUCCUGUUUUGUUAAGGUAGAUUACUACUGUAAGCUUGUGAAGUUUAAGUUUUCAGGGGAAUCCUCAUUUGUGAUAUAUGAGCAUGGUAGCCCAAUGGCUGUGAGAGUUGUGUCGGACAUAGCUGCUAGGCCAAUGCAGAGGCAAGAAGGCCAAGGGUACUUGGCGAUGACAAGAAACACUUCGACAGAUGACGAGAGUGUGGAUUGUGUAUCGGCAGUGGGUUAGUAUUUGGAUUACUUCUUGAGAGGGAAAUAAAAUUUCGUAUUGAUUUUAUUCUGGAUACACAACCAAUUUCAAUACCUUUUUAUCGAAUGGCACCAACUGAAUUAAGAGAGCUUAAAAAGCAAUUGGAGGAUUUAUUGAAUAAGGGUUUUAUUCAUGCCAAUGUUUCUCUUUAGGGAGCUUCAAUGCUAAUCAUAAAGAAAAAAGGAUGGUAUCCUUUGGUUAUGCAUUGACUACCGAUAAUUGAAUAAGGUUACUAUGAAGAAUAUGAAUCCAUUCUCGAGGAUUAACGAUUUGUUUGAUCAAUUGUAAGGUGUCGUGUGCUUCUCUAAGAUUGAUUUACGCUCGGGGUAUCACCAAUUAAGAAUAUGAGAGUGUGAUGUACCCAAGAUAGGGUUCUGCACAUGUUAUGGACAUUAUGAUUUUCUAGUGAUGUCGUUUUGACUCACCAAUGCACCAAUAGCAUUUAUGGACUUAAUGAAUAAGGUUUUCUGAGCAUAUUUGGACAAAUUUGUGGUCGUAUUUAUAGACGACAUAUUGGUGUAUUCUAAGAGCUCGGAGGAACAUGCCCAACAUUUGAGAAUUGUACUUUAGACCUUGAGAAAGCAUAGGUUAUAUGCUAAAUUUUCAAAGUGUGAGUUUUGGUUGAAUAAAGUCAGUUUCUUUGGGCACAUUAUGUUUGAACAAGGGGUGCAAGUGGCUCCUAACAAAGUGGAAACUGUGGAGAAUUGGCCACGGCCAAAGUCUGCAACAAAAGUUAGAAGUUUGCUAGGUUUAAUCGGAUAUUAUAGACAUUUCAUACAAGAUUUUUGUAAGAUUGUAUUCCCUGUGACAAGACUGACACAGAAAGGAGUUAAGUUUGAAUGGUCUGAUGCAUGUGAGGCUAGUUUUUAGAGGCUCAAAGCCUAUCUCAUGUUCGCACUUUAGCUAAGUGUGCCAUGUGGAUCUAGAGGCUAUACCAUGUAUUGUGAUGCAUCAUAAAUUGGAUUGGGUUGUGUGUUUAUGCAACAUGGGAAAGUUAUGGCAUAGACUUUUCGAUAGUUGAAGAGGCAUGAAUAGAACUAUCCUACGUAUGACCUAGAAAUGGCUGCAAUUGUGUUUGCUUUGAAAAUUUCGCACCAUUAUCGCUAUGGUAUUACUUAAGAAAUAUAUACUGAUCAUAAGAGUUUGAAGUAUAUAUUUUAGCAAAGAGAUUUAAAUUUGAGACAACGUAGAUGGUUGGAAUUAUUGAAAGAUUAUGACUGCACCAUACUUUACCAUCCUAGCAAGGCCAAUGUGGUGGCAAAUGCCUUGAGCCGAAAAUCGAUGGGGAGUUUGGCACACAAGACAAUAGUGAAAAGACCUUUGGUGUAGAGCUUGUAUGAUUUGGGCAAUAUGGGUUUACAUUUUGAGGUUAAUGAUUUUAAUGCAUUGUUGGCACAUUUUAGAGAUAGACUAGUGAUACCAAAUCGAAUUAAAGUUGCCUAAGAUCAAGAUGAAUAUAUGGUGAAAAUAUUUAGAGAUAUGAGCAAAGAUAGAGGUCAAGACUUUGUGUCCGAAACAUAUGGUUUAAUGAGAUAUUGAUCAUGAAUUUAUGUGCCGAAUACGGAUAAUUUAAGAAAUGAGAUUUUGUAAGCGACGCAUGUGGCAACCUAUGCAAUACACUCUAGAGCCACCAUCAUGAUCUGAAGUCUGAGUAUUGGUGGCCAAGAUUAAAAAGAGACGUGGUGGAAUAUGUCUCUAAGUGUUUGACAUGUCAGCAAGUAAAGGCUGAGCACCAGAAGCCUUUCGAACUGUUACAGCCAUUACUAAUUCUCGAGUGGAAAUGGGAACAUGUAGCAAUGUAUUUUGUGACGGGUUUACCACAAGCUAGAGGUGGCUAUGAUGCCAUUUGGGUAAUAAUUGAUUAGCUCAUUAAGUAGGCUCAAUUGUUUCUGGUCAAAAUUAAGUAUGAAGCAGCUCAGUGUACCCAAAUCUGUAUUGAUGAGAUUGUAAGACUACAUGGUGUUCCAGUAACGAUAGUGUCCGAUUGAGUAUCAUAGUCCGGUAGCUAGUUUUGGAGGAAAUUUCAAGAGGCCUUAGGCACAAGAUUGGAUUUUAGAAUGGCCUUCCACCCACAAAUGGAUGGCCAAUACGAGUGCACCAUUCACACACUAGUGGAUAUGUUGAGAGCAAUUGUGCUCGAUGUGAGACCUUGAUUUUUUUAUAGACUCGUAGCUAGAAGUAGACGCGAUAACACGAACUAGGGAUAAUUUUGUCAUUUUCCUUAAUGAGCUUUUAGAAGUGGGUUUUCUAAUAUUAUUAAGGCCUAAGUAGGCCUAAGGAAUAAAUGAAUGAUGAAAAUGAGGAUAAAAUGACGAAGGAAAUAAAAAUAAUGAUGAUUUUUAAGGUAGGGGCAAAAUGGUCAUUUUUCAUCUCGAGUCAAGAUUUUUAAGUUUUCGUGAACUCAAGUAUUUCUAGACUAUUAUGGACUUUAUCUCAAAGCUAACUUGUUAAGGGCAUUUUCGUAAUUUAAGUGAAGUUUGGAUAAGCUUUAGCUAUAAAUAUCAUUUUUCAGUAGCUUCUUCUCAUUUUUCAAUAGCUUCUUCUUCUUCUCCCUCCCAUCUCACAUUUCUUUCAUCCUCUAUGAAAGCUUCUCUCAAAGCUUCCAUCACCCUCUCAAACUAACCAUAAAUUUCAUGCUUUUACACACCCUGUUAUAGGGUUUUUCAUGCUCUUUCACUCUCUCACCUUAAAACCCUUAAAAAGUCUUACUCCCAUACUUUCUCUCACUAGCUAGGUGUUUUAGAGAGAGAAAAAGAGAGAGAGCUUCUAUAAUAGCUUGAAAAUUUGUGGAAAGGAAUUUACUUACAAAGCUACCAAGGUGAGUAAUGAAGUAGAGUUGAUUUUUAAGUGUUGAGAAUGGCUAGUGAUUAGAUUUGUGAGUGUUUUAUAGUUGAGGUUGUUUAUUCAUUUUAGAGUGAUUAGGAUAGUGAAAAUAGAUGGCCACUUAAUGGCAAUUGGAAGCUAGUUAGGAGAUAGCUUUAAAAAUUUAUAGUUAUGUGAAUUGAGUUAAUUGUGAUGUUAUUGUGAUAAUAGGUUCCAACGAAACCCCACUGCCCCAUUUGGACCAUUAAAGGAAGUUAGAGUUGGGUAAAGAUUUAACAAGUACCGAUGAGUGAACUUGCAUUUCAAAAUGUUUUGGGAAGUGCCUACAUGUUUAAAUAAAUCAUUUGAAAGUUUCAUUUGUUUUUGCUUUAAAUAUAUACCUAGGGAAAAAAUAUACUUGGGGAACAAGCCCUUGAUGAAAUGUUUCUAUCUUGUGAAAUGUGCAAUAUGAAUAGUUCAUGCGUUAUCACAUUAUAUUUGUCAAGCCCUACUCUAUUAUAUACUUGUCAUGUCAUUCAUGUGCUUGAUAGAAUGUUUGCAUAAGUGAAUGUAUUGAAAAAUCGUUAAAAGUCGGUAUUGUACCUAGUGGUACAAUUAAGUUGAUUAAAGCCUUGAACUAGGUCAAAUAAAGAUUUUACAAUGUAUUUGAGAGUUAUUGAAUCUUAGAAUGUCUUAAUAUGGUGAUUCGGAGUUCAAGGAUUGAUUUGGAGUCCAAUCGAGAAUUUUCAUAACGUAAGGGCAAAAUGGUCAUUUUACCACCCAAGGGCAAAAUUGGAAUGUUGGAUGAGAUUUUUGACCAAGUUUGACUAUUUGGAGCAUAAUUUGAAAUUGUGGAGUGAAAAAUUUCAAUUUUGACAUUUUUUCGACAUUUUUCGAGUAUAAGGGCAAAACGGUCAUUUCACGUGUCCAUGAGGACGUAAUUGAAAUUUUACACCACCAUGACACUUGUCAAGCCCAUGAAUUUCACAUGUUAUCACUUUAUACUUUGGAUAAUUAUGGGAUUACAUGUGGUGGUGAGAAAUUGCUUAAUGGUUAAGUUUUUAAUCAUGGACCAAUCAAGUGGUGACAUGUGUCAAGCUUUAAUAUUUUUAUGAUUUUCCUUUAUAAACUGACUUAAGCUUCUCCCAUUUCACUCUUAUGGCUGGCCAAGCAAGGGAACAAAGAGAAAAAGAGAAGAACAAACCCUAGGAAGGAAAAAUUCAAGAGUAAUUGUUGGAUUUCAAGGAAUCAAACAAGUAAAGGUAAGAUUUUUUAAUUUUAGCUUGUGAUCUACCUUUCCCAUGCAUUCUUUUUCAUUCUCCAUGGCUGAAAUUCAAGUUUUCAAGAGGGAACCUUGCUGGCCAAAUCUAGAGAGAGAAGUUUUGGUGAUGAAUUUUGCUAGAUUUCAUAAUAACCUAGUGUUUUUAGUCAUUUUGUGAUGUUUGGAAGGAAAAACAAGCAAGAAAAUCCAUGUUCUUCAACCACCCACAUUUGGCCAAAUUUUCUAUAGGGCAUGUUGAUGAUGGAUUUGGUUGUAAUUCCUGUUAUUAGCUAGGAAUUGAUGAAUUAUGAUGUUGGAUAUAGAAAUCGGAAUGAAUUUUGGUUACGGUGAAUUAAGUCACAAUUAAGCUCAUUGAGGUACUUUGGUGUAUUUGGAAUAUUGGAAGUGUAAUGAAGAUAUUUAGAGUUGAAUUGGAUGUUUUGGCUAAUUAAACAAGGUAUAGUAUGAGUUAGGUCGAAUGCCAAUUCAGUCUGAUCAUAAUUGAACCCACGUAGAACACCGUCUUUAAGUGAUUAUUCGGACAAUUCUCAUUCAAUGUCAUGCAUUCAUAUAGAGCCUGAAAUAAUUUUAUAAUAGUUUGGCACAAAUAUAUUGAAUUACAUGUCGUUUAUUAUGUAUAGGGGGUAAGCCCUUUGAUAAGGGUAAAGAUAUUGUGCUUGAGGACCAAGAAUAAGAGUACUCCAAACUCCUGCUAUUAUGAGUAAUCAGACUUUCAUCUUAACUAUCUAAAGUAGUUUAUACUCGUUUUUAUAUUUUAAAGAAAAUUGAAUUUAAAUUGCAAACUAUUAUGUUUUAUAAUUGAAGUGUUGAUUAAACGAACUGAGAUUUAUAACUUGUUUUGAAAUUGAAUAUUGGUUUUGGAAAUUGAGUAAGUGGAGACUGUAUACUUGUGUUAUAUAUAUGUUUUGAUAUAUGGUUUGAAUUGAUGGCUUAUGACAAUGUGAUGGCAAGCAUGGCUGGAUUUGUGUUUGUGUGGAAUAUAUGAACUGUUUUGCUUUGCCUUGACAGGCUGGUAAUAUUAUAUUAGCCAUGUCAUGUUGUCGAAAAUUUUAUUGAAUUGGUGGGUUAUUUGAUUAGCUUACUGCAGUGGGUGGGUUUCCGUGGACUAGCCUAUGAGAGGGGCACGGUAAACCUCGUUAUAUUUUACCUUAGUAUGAGAGGCGAGAAGGGUAUCUCCUAAGGUAAAGUUAGAGUUCACCUUACGCCGAACCACCAUGUGAGGGUGAAACUCAGCCAACGCCAAGGAAUGGCUGUGCUUUUAAAUGUAAAAAAAAAAUGAGUUUUAUACUCAUAUGUUAUUUUAACAGCUUUGGCGGACUCGAUUGGAUGUCUCGGGGCAAGGUGUCACAGAGUCCAAGUUUUUAGCACGAGCCAAAUUUUAAGAGAAUCAUAAGCCUUGUUGAUUUUGAUGAAAUGAAAUUGAUUUACAUGGGUUGAAAUGAGAUUUGAUGUUAUGAAUCAUAUUAUGAUGAGAUGUUUUAAAUUGUCUCCAUUUACUCAGCUUUAGAUGUUAUAGAUGAAAUUUGCUUACUCAUUGGGUUUAUAAAAACUCACCCCUCCUUUUCACCCAUUUCAGGCUUAGGGCAGUUUGUAGACCGCUGAUUAUGUCGAGGGUUUGCUUUUGGGUUUUCACCCUUAGAAAUCGCAGGUCUAUAGUCUUGUACAUAUAUGUUUAUUUUGGGGGCCCACAUGUCAUUGUAGAAUAUUUUGUAUACCUAGCUGCGUGUGCCACUGUAUGUAUGAAUUUAUUUUGCUUUUAUGCUACAAAAAUUAUUUACACAGAGUUCUAUAAAUAUUGUUUUAUAAGAAAAUGGAAUAUUUUAUUUAAUAUUUUUAUUUAAUUUGAAUAGCUAUAAUUUCACUUUAAAUUGAUGAAUUAGACAACGAAACUUAUUUUUAGAUACGAACUGUAUAUUUUUCAUUUAUAUAUUAUAUUUUUAACAGGAUUCAAAAUUUUUGGGUAAAAUGACCAAAAUACCCCUGUGCAGUAGAAAUUACUUUUUGAUCGUUUUGAUUUGAAAAUAAUCUAUAUUCUUUCAAAACAUGAUAUUUAGUAACUGUUGCUCACAAGAGAGACAUAAAAUUGAUGCAAGAGCCUUGCGAGGUUUUGGUUGACGUUCUGGGUAAUGAAUGUCUAUGGAGACAUCGUGGCGGUUGUCACGGGCUCGAUGGGAAUUUCGGGUCGUGACAAUAUUGAUAUGAAUAUUAUUCAUUGGAUGUUUCUUUUGUGUGAUAAUGAUGACCCAGCUAUGUGUGUGUGGGAGUGCACAUGAGCUGAUGAUGACCCGGCUAUGUGCGAGUAGGGAGUGCACAUGAUGAUGAUAUUGCAUUGUGCAUGUAGGGAGUGCACAUGAGCUGAGUGUGGCGGAUGGUAUGCAUGAUGAUGUAUGUAUAUAUAUAUAUAUAUAUAUGUUAUAUAAAGUUUAUGAAAAUAUUUGUGAUUGUGUUGUAUGCUGGCAUUGUUAAUUGCUCCCAAAUUGCUUUUCAUUUCAGCAAGAAAAUGGCUUUUUGAUGUAACAAGACCCCUUCAACUAAAUUGCUCUGUUCUCGCUGCAGCGAGAUUCAUUUUCCUUGCAGCAAGAAACUCUCGGGUAGGCAGCCUUAAUCAUGCUUUGAAUUUUGCUGUAGCAAGGAAUUUUGUUGUAGUGAAAAUGAAUCUCGUUGCAGCGAGAAACUCUCGGGGUAGUUCCAAAAUUCUAAUGUAGUACUUUCAAUUUGAAAAAGAUUUUGACCACCUUCCAAUCAAAAUUGGGAAAUGUGGUAAUCAUAAAAGUUGUAUCCCAGCCUCUUAGCUUUCUAAUGAUUCAAAAAUCAUGUCAAUUGGACUUCUGUAGUGGGAGAUAUGUUAGAAAAACCAAAACAUAUGCAAAUUGAGAAUGCCUUUUCGUUGUAUCAAGAAAACUCUUUAUUUGCUUGUCUUGCUUGGUCAUUGCUGAAAUUUUCAUUCUAUUUAACUUCAUGGUUUAUCAUGGAUCUUUGUAAAAUUAAGGGAUUAAACAUUCAAGGUUUGAAAUGAGGGGUUUUAACCAAAAAUUAGACUAAAUUGCAUGGUUUUAUCGUAAGUGCAUCAUGUUUUCUAAAACAUUCCUUAUCGUUGCUUGUUCCCUUCUUAUGUUCACUCACUGAGUUUUAUACUCACUCUUUUAAACUUCAUGUUUUCAGAUUCGGAGGCAGUUGGGACCUAGAUUGAGUUGUCCACAUAUGCUCACCUUCUUGGUAGGUAGUAUGACAUCUCAGUAGCCGGUACUCACCCACAGUCACUCCGCUGACGGUCAAGAGUCUUAUGCUUGUGUAUACAUAUAAAUAAUGUAGACCACUAAGAUUCAUGUUAAAAAUCAAAUAUGUAUAUUUGAUUACUGAUGCCAUUAUAGGUUGGCAAACGAGUGACAUUAUUUUAACAUAAUACAAAUGUGAAUAUUGGGUUGCUAUAAAAUGUUACUGAAAUUUUUAUAGUUGAGAAUUACAAUAUGUGGUUUUUGAAAUGAUGGCGGGGAAUGAUGAUCGAGAUUGCAUAGAAAGGCUUGCUUGGGCUUAUUAUAUGCCUUUGGCCAAAUUUUCUUACAAUAAUAGUUAUCAAGCCACAAUUGUUAUGGCUUCUUAUGAGGCUUUAUAUGGUUGAAGGUGUAUAUCACCUAUUAAUUAGCUUGAGGUCGGAGAAAGGAAACUCUUAGGAUCGAAAAUGGUCUAGGAAGCAGAACGAGGCAUCUAUGUAAUUAGAGAAAGGCUAUUAAUGGCUUAAAGUCACCAAAAGUCCUAUGCUAACAAUAGGCAAAGGCCUUUAGAAUUUCAAGUUGGAAAUUAUGUUUUUUUCAAAGUUUCAUUGAUUAAAAGAGUCAAAAGAUUUGGGAAGAAUGAGAAAUUGAAUCAUAGAUACAUCGGGCCCUUUGAGGUAUUAAAGUGCAUUGGUACAGUUGCUUAUCAUUUGGCGUUACCACCUAAUUUGUCCGAUGUUCAUCUGAUUUUUCCAUGUAUCCAUUCUUAGGAAGUAUGUUCCUAGCCUUUCGCAUGUGAUUCAGCAUGCUGAGGUCCAGUUACAAGACAAACUUAGUUACGAGGGUAGCUUAUAGCCAUAUUUGAUUAGCAAGUAAAACGACUUUGCUCUAAAGAUAUUGUUAUGGUGAAAGUGUUGUGGCAAAGCCAUGCGGUUGAACAAGCCACAUGGGAACUCAAAGAGGAAAUGAGAUAGAAAUAUCCCCACUUAUUUGAGGUUUAACUUACAUUUUAAUGUGUGGUAUAUGAUUUGAAAUUCAUGGAUGAUUUCUUAGAAGGAGGGGAGAAUGUAACACCCUCGAUUUUUUUAAUAUUAAUUGUGCAUGAUGCUAGACUAGCUCACAGGUUGAUCUUAAGUGAAAUGUGAAUGAUUGUAGGUUGUGGAGGAGAUUUGGGAUGAGUUUAGGCUUCAAAAGAACCAAUAUUUAUGAAUUUGAACCACAAGAGUCAAUCCCAAUGCUUGGAGGAUCCAUCUUGUGAAGUAGAAAUUUAAGGGUAAAUAAUUUGUGUAGAAAAAUUUAGGGGUAAAAAUAACACUGGCCCAAGAUCGAGUACAAAACCCUUGUAGUUGAUCCUAGGGCAAGAAAUGGGGGUGAGAUUGAACAAUGUGGUCCAAGAUCAACUCUGGAGCUCCCAUAGUUGAUCUUGAGGUGCCAGAUCAGCAAAAAUUAGGCUUAAAAGCCCCAAAACUGAAAAAUCCUCUAUUUUCUUCCAUUUCUUCAUUCUCUCAUCCGAGUUCUCCAAAAUUUCACCCCACUCAAAAUCUUCACACUUUAAUGCUAAAUCUUGGAUUUGAGGAGCUAAAAGUGAGGAUUUGUAUCUCCAAAAGUGUGGAUUUUAUUUGUGAUCUCUUUCGCUAACAAUUUCAAACCCUAAGUCUCAAGGUGAUGUGUAAAGCUUAUUUAAGCUAGAUCCAUACUUGAGAAACAUUCUUAGAGGUAAGAUUUAGUGUUUUUGUUGGUUGAUUUUCAAUUUAAUCAGUUGAUAACCUAAGAUUUAAUUUUGGUCUAACUUUGAGGAAAAUUGGUCCCAUUUAGUUGACUGAAGAUUUGGGAUAAAUUGUGCAACUCGGCUUCCAAGGUAUUGGUUUAGCUCAUUAUUAAAGGGUUUGAGCUUAUAUGUGUUGAAGUUGGAUCUUAGUAGAUUGAUGUGAUUUAUAAAAGCAUGGAUUUCAAAAAUUUCUUUUAUAAAGGAAGCAAGCAAUCCAAUUACAUAAGCAGAAACACACAUCAUUCUUAUUGCAAGUAACAUAAUCGCAUCCUAAAAAAAUAAGAAUCUAUUAAGUAAAACAAAUCAUACCUUUUAUUUUGAGAUUCUUAUUUUCAGACACCACCACACCAAUGAAUGAUUUCUCAACCAAACAAGUCUACCACUUAUUCUUCAAGAAUAGUUUCAACUUGAACCUUGAGUGGACAAGGUAUGGAAUGCAAGACUACAAGAUGACAACUGAUUUUGUCUCUCUUUUCUGCAGAAAAGUUUGGAGGAGGAAAAGAAAAGUGACGGUUGAAAUUUUUUCAAGAAAAAGUACGUUCUUUUUUUUUUCUUCCAAUCUCUUCUCUUUUUAUUAAAACUCUUGCCUCAGAGGUUUAAUUAAAAUGAAGCACGUUUGAAUCAAUCUUGACCAUCCAUUUAGAGCGAUGGAAGUAUCAAACAUACUUCAUAAUUAUCAAAAUUAAAAUUAAAGAAUAAAUAAUUUAAUUCUUUAAUUAUCAUUUAGAGUUCUUGAUAAAAUAAAACUCCUUAUUGAAUAAUAACUCUUAUUUUAUUAUUAUCCAUCUUUAUUUUGAAAGAAUUAAUAAUAAAUAAAAGAAAGAUAGUCAAACAUGGGGUCUUCUUUUAUCAACAUGGAUGUCUAGAUUUGUUUUGCAAGAAUCCUCCUAACAUUAUCUUAAUUUAAGACAACUCUUGUCUUUAAUUAAGACAAAAAUAUUUUAUCUUGUCAAAAUUGAGACAAAAAUGUUUUCUUGUCUAGAUUAAGACAAAAAAUAUUUUUCUUGUCUUAAAUUAAGACAAAGAUAUUUUGUUGUCUAAAUUAAGACCAAACAUAUUUUUUUGUCUAAAUUAAGACAAACAUGUUAAAGCUUCCAUUUUUGUACACAAUUUAAUUAAUCAAAUUAAAAAAUUUCAACUUAAACAAGUUGAAUUCUACGAAGAUAAGUGGGGAAUCUAUUUGGACAUAGAUAUUCCAAGCUCUAAUAAACUUAGAAUUAUUCUUGAUCUCAUUAAAAAUAAUUCAAGCUUAUUAACCACGAAAUCACUCCACCAUAGAUUCAUGGUUGCACUAUUGGAUUAACUAUAAUUACAAGAAACAAUUAAAUACUUGAUAUUAAUUAUUAGUUUUCUAAUUACAAACCUUCUAUUGUGAACCUCAUAGCCGUCCAAUGACAAAAAGUGAAAUUAUCGUUUUACUGUUUAUGUCAAUUUUGUCCUUUAGUCUCAAUUUCAUCCAAUUAGUGGUUCAAUACUUUAGAUCUAAUCUUUGAGUAUGCACAUGUGAUGAGUAGCUAAUUCAUCAAUCCACUAGGCCCAGAUUAAUCACUAAUCUUCCUAAAAUCGCUAGAAGUGAUGUUAAUGCUAUGAACUCCAUUAUCUAGAUAUAUGUUCCCAGAUGUUCAUCUUGAUUGUAAUCCCAAAAUACGGAGUCUAGAUCAAUGCUUUAUGAUGAUCAUGCUCAUGGAAAAUUAAAGAUUCUAAGGAGAUUAAACAUGAGUCCACUAUCCAUCAAGAUUUUCAUUCUACUAUAAGCAAAUACAUAAGUGUGAAUCAAGAUUUUAAGUAAUAGUAAAACUUAAAUUUGAUUCUCACGUGAUUCCAGUUCAUGUUAUAGUGUCAUUACUCGAAGUUAACCAUUUUGAUGAUUUGAGACUCAUCAUUCCCUUGAAAUGAAUCACAUUUGUCUCGCUGGAAGUAAUGUGGACACUACAGCCUUAACACAAUAAAGUGACUAGCUUUAUUAUAUGGCUGUGAAUAAUUUUUAGAUUCAAUUAAAAUACAUGUCUUCUAUGUAUGACUUUUUCAUACAAAUGUAUUUUAAUAUCUCAAUAGAAUCAUGGUACCUUAAUAACUAGAUAAUGAAUGCUUACUAAAACAAACUCUUCGUUUUAUUAUAAAAAUGUACCUUCAUUACAAAUAAAUUUAAUGAAAUUAAGCAUGAGAAUAUACUUGCUUUCCAAGGCACCGUAUUCUCAAAAUUCCUAACAAUCUCCUACUUGCCCUAAAAGCAAGUAUGACAUAUCCUUCAUUCCAAGACCUUUUAAGUGACCAUCGAAAGUUUUUUGUGUUAGAGUCUUUGUGAAUGGAUCGGUGAGGUUCUACUCUAUUAGAAUUUUCUUCACAAGUACUUCUCAACGUUGUAUGAUCUUUUGAAUGAGAUGAUAUUUCCUUUCAAUGUGUUUUGUUGCUUUAUGAUUCUGUGGUUCUUUUGAGUUAGCCAUUGUCCACUGUUAUCACAAUAGAGUGUAAUAGAAUUAUGGUACCUUAAUAAAUAGAUAAUGAAUGCUUACUCAAACUGUAUGGGAAUAUUAAUUUAAUGUACUUUCAUUAAAAUGUUGAAUUACAUAUAAAUUUUUUAUCAAAAUAAAUCAUUGUCCACUGUCCACUCUUCGUUUGUUUAUCAAAAUGUACUUUCAUUACAUAUAAAUUUAAUGAAAUUAAGCAUGGGAAUGUACUUGCUAUCCAGAGCACCAUAUUCUCAAAAAUCCUAACAAUAUGUUGAAUUGUUAAGGAUUUAGCUAGUUUUAGAAAAGCUGGCAUUUUUGGAAAGCCAAGAUUUAAUGGAUUUCGUAAUGUUUUGAUGUGCUUAAGGGAAUAUUGAUUUAUUUGAGCAUGUUUAUGAGCUGAAAAAUGAUUGGAGGCUAAGGAUUGAAGCUUGGUUGAGGAGCACCUCCAAAUUGUCCCCAUGAGUGGGAUUUAUCAAAUGCAUGUGAUGCAUAACGCAUGGAAUAUGCGUUGCACUGGAUAUUAUGAAUGUUGGCCUAGAUGAGCAUGCUUAGGCUAGAGAAUUAUGUAUUUAUGUGUAAGAAUGUGAUUGCCUAGAUGAAUGUACCUAGGCUAAUAUAUGGUUUACAUAUAUGUUAAUAUAUAUGCAUGUUUUGUGAAUGCCAUUGGGAAGCAUGAGCCAGUAGACAUCUAGGUGAUGUAUGAUUUUGAUGGGUCCUGGAUAUGUGGUGAUUAAAUCAUUAUGAUGGUGAUACUACGAUGUGUUAUUAGAUUGCCCAUUUGUUGACAGAAUGUUGAUGCAUGAUUUGAUAUGAUAUUAUUCAUGUAUAUGCGACUAUUAGGCCAUGAUUGAAUAUAAAUUAUAUUGUUGAUGUAUACAUAGCCAGUGAGCCAUGAUUAAUAAGGUAUUUAGAACUUGAAUGAGCUUAUUGAUAGAUGAGGCUUGAUGAAUGUGAUCAUCAUCAUGUUAUGGACAUAUAGAAAUAUAAAGACAUGAUGGUCUCAGUCUCAUUGAGGAAAUGUGUUCCAUCUGAGGAAUGAGUUAUGGACGUCGAUCUAACUUGAGGAUGAGUGGAGUUUGAUAUCCAUGUGACUAUGUUAGUGCCUCAAGGAUGGUGGUAAAUAAGGGUAGUGGUUGAAAUCCUGCCUAUGAUUCUUGCUUGUUGUGUAUAAUGCCAUUCGCCCGGAGAUUACUCCGGAUGAUGAUUGUGAUGCCACUUGUGGAGAAUACUUCAGGUGAUGUCGUCUUUUGGGAUAUUGCUAUCAUGACUCAAACCCAGGGCCAUGAUCAAUGCACGAGCCCAGCAGGCGAGCCCACUAGACCCAAGCAAACCUCAAGGUUCAUAUCCAAGCAUACACAGGCCAAGGGACUCAAUAAUCAAGCAUUCAUAAUAAAUUCGAAUAAAGUACAAUAUCCCUAGCUAAAUUUCCAUACAAAUAGAAAUAGGGCCAUACAUUGGCCAUCCAAACGAGUUCAUACAUAUUAACCCUUAAUACACAACAUAACAUGGCACUCAAUGCCUACAACAUUAUCCAUAGUGGAAGGCUUUGACUAACUCAACGGAGUGACCAAAAUAAAGGACCUACUAGAUGCCGAAAUCGAUUUAUCUAUAGACGAUCUUUGCCAUGCUCCUUCAUGGUCUAUUUAUCUGCACAUGAUACACAAAUGGGUGAGUAUUAUAAUAAUUAGUGAGUGAUGCAGAUAAUCCAAAUCAAAUUAUAUGCAUAUAUACAUCAAACAUAUAAUAACUAUAUUGCACUCUCAGUAUGUCCAUAUAAUCUUUCAAUACAUUUCCAAAUAUAGAGGGAUAUAGUCAUCCCUAGGUUCACCAAAUAUGGGGUUAUGUCAUCCUCCCCAAAGUCAUCAUUAUCAUCACAUAUGGUGGGGCUUACCCUCGAAGCCAACCAAAUCAUUGAAACUAUUCUCCGCAGCACACUUUAGUUGUGAGAGCAUCAAAUGAAAGUCAUACCAUAUGUAUAUCAAGCCUCUCAUGGCUAUCUCACACCAUACACGAAUCAAAUCAACGAGUGGUCCUUUCCUAUACAUAAUCAAAUCACGCUCGGUGGUCAUCCAGUAGAGAAUCAAAUCACACACAAGGCUAAAGCUGUUGAUAAAAAAUAGAUCAUGUUCAACUCUGAAGUAGCUAGCUAAAAGUCAAAGUCAUUGAUUGGAGAAAUCUCUCGACGGUCAGCAUCAGCUGGAGUAUUCUCACAUAGGUGGCAUUACAAUCAUCAUUUGGAGUAAUCUCCCAAUGGAUGGCAUCGUACACUACAGGCGAGAAUUACAAGUGAGAUAUCAAUCACUACCCUUACUUACCAUCAUCCUUGAGGCACGAACAUAGUCAUAGGGCAUCGGACUCCACUCAUCCAUAAAUCAGAUCAACAUUCAGAAUUCAUCUUUUGGAUGGAAACACAAGUCCACAAUUAAGGCCAUCAUGCCUUUAUCAUUCACAUCUUUUGUAUCAAACCUCAAUUCACAUUUAUCGAGCUUUAAUUGUCUUAAGCUCGGUUAGAUUCUAGGUGCCUCUAAGUCUCCAAGGCCUCAUUCAAUCAAAUCGUCUCGACAUAUCAAUCACCUAGGGUAAUCCACUCUUGGGGGUUUAACAUAGCCUACAAGCCUUCUAGUCUAGGCUUACACAACAUAGGCCACCAUGUGGCUCACAUCACAGUGCAAUCACACACAAUUCAAAUAUAUACAUAUACACAUAUAUUGUUCUCUAGCCUAGGUUCAUCCAUUUAGGCUUAUGUACAAAAUCUAGUACUAGUGUAGCGCACUUAUAGUACGUUAUGCAUCACGUGCAUUUAGCUUAAAUCCCACUCAUAGUGACAGUAGAAGGCACUCCCAGCCAAACUCUAAUUCUUUGCCUCUAAUCAUCAUUUACUUGCCAAUGACUUGAUUUAGCUUUGUUUCCCCCUUCAAACACAUCAGAACAUCAAAAGAUUAAUUAUUCUUGGCUUUUGAAAAAUGCCAGCUUUUCACACAAUUAACUAAAUCUUAGCAAUCCAACUAUUGAAGCUCAAAUCCUUCAUUAAUGAGCUAAACCCAUACCUUGGAAGUCGGAUUGCAUGAGUCUUAGCUCUAAAUUCUCUAAUCCAAGCCACAGAGGGAAAAAUACCAAAUUUGGAGAAAACUCAUAUUCGAAGUUAUUAACUGAUUAAAUUGAAAAAUAAUCAGUAAAAACAUUAAAUCAUACCUCCAAAAUGGUUUCCCAAGCUCCAAAUAGCUUCAAAUGGCUUAGAAAUUCAAUUUGGAGGGUUAGAGUUUUAGACGUUUUAAAGAGAGAAAGAGUUAAAAGAAAGAGUUGAGCGAAAUGGCUCAAAAUCCCUUGUUAUUUUUUCCUUUCUUUUUUUUGUAUCAAUAUAUUUUGGCAAUGUACUGAUACAUUUGCCCUAAUUUCGAAUGAAUGUAUCAAUACAUUGCGAAAAUGUGUCGAUACUUUUCCCCUUAGGUGCUUUUUGUUUCAAAUGUAUCGAUAAAUUUGGACAAUGCAUCGAUGUUCAUCUUUAGCCAAAUCUAUCAAUACAUUAUCAAAUGUAUUGACAAAAUAUUUAUCACAACCCAAAACUCCCAUCGAGCCCGUGACAACCAUCGCUAUGUCCCGAUAGACAUUCAUUACUCGGAAUGCCAAUCGAAACCUCGUAAGGCUUAACACCAGUUUUCUCGCUUCCUUUGUGAGUAUUAGUUACUAAAAUCAUGUUUUAAAGUGAUAUGAACCAAUUUCAAUUCAAAAACAGUCAAAGAGAAAUUUCAACUACAUAGGGGUAUUUUGGUCAUUUUUCUCAAAAAUUUUGAAACUAGCUAAAAUGUAGUAUAUGAGAGAAAUUUACACAUUUCAUAACCAAAAAUAAGUUUAGAUAUCUAAAACAUUCAUUUAAAGUGAAAUGAUAGCGAUUAGAAUAAAAUAAAAAUAUUGAAUAAAAUAUUCUAUUUUCUUAUAAAACAAUUUUUAUAGAGAUAUCCGUAAAUAAUUUUUGUAGCGUAAAAGCAAAAUAAAUUUGUACAUACAGUAACACAGAUAGUCAAGGUAUGUAAUUAAAUUUACAAUGACACGUGGGUCCCUUAAAUGACAAAAGUGAACGAAGGCUAUGAACCUACAAUUUUUGAGGAAGUAAAGCCAACUGUAGCCUUUGACGAUAUCAGCUAUCUACAAAUUAUCCUGAGCUUGAAAUGGGUGGAAAAGAGGGUGGUGAGAUUAUAUAAUCCCAGUGAGUAAACAAAUACCAUCUAAAAUAUCUAAAGCUGAGUAAAUGGAGACAGAUAAAAUAGAUUGGCAUAAAAAUGAUUCAUAGCAUUUCGAACUCAUUUUAAUAAGAUAAAAUAGAUUCAUUUCACCCAAAUAAACAACGAGGCUUAUGAUUUCCUGAAAAGCUUGGCUCGUGCCAAAAUCAUUCUCAUACUCAGUUAUCAGGGAUACCUUGGCCUGGGGCUAUCCCAACCGAGUCCGCCAAGGCUGUUAAAAAGUCAUAUACACAUAAAUCAUGUUUUUAUUUUGAAAACAUAGCCGUUCCUUGGCGUUGGCUGAGUUCACCCUCAUGUGGUGGUUUGGCGUGAAGUGAACACUAAAGUUUUACCUCAGGAGUUACCCUACGCGCCUCUCCGAUCGAGGUAAGAUUAUACCCAGAUUUCGUGCCCCUCUAAUAGG
This 34294-nucleotide long non-coding RNA is filed under the name Theobroma cacao (cacao). RNAcentral describes it as "long non-coding RNA (TCAC_LNC000404)". Lineage: Eukaryota; Viridiplantae; Streptophyta; Magnoliopsida; Malvales; Malvaceae. The record is from RNAcentral.